This 564-nucleotide ribosomal RNA is filed under the name Dactylosporangium sp. 384C08. RNAcentral describes it as "bacterial SSU rRNA". It matches the Rfam family "Bacterial small subunit ribosomal RNA", at positions 93 to 671 of the family's 1533-position model. Lineage: Bacteria; Bacillati; Actinomycetota; Actinomycetes; Micromonosporales; Micromonosporaceae. The record is from RNAcentral.
GAGCGGCGAACGGGUGAGUAACACGUGAGUAACCUGCCCUAGGCUUUGGGAUAACCCUCGGAAACGGGGGCUAAUACCGAAUAUUCAUUUCUGACGGCAUCGUCGGGUGUGGAAAGUUUUUCGGCCUGGGAUGGGCUCGCGGCCUAUCAGCUUGUUGGUGGGGUGAUGGCCUACCAAGGCGACGACGGGUAGCCGGCCUGAGAGGGCGACCGGCCACACUGGGACUGAGACACGGCCCAGACUCCUACGGGAGGCAGCAGUGGGGAAUAUUGCACAAUGGGCGGAAGCCUGAUGCAGCGACGCCGCGUGAGGGAUGAAGGCCUUCGGGUUGUAAACCUCUUUCGACAGGGACGAAGCGCAAGUGACGGUACCUGGAGAAGAAGCGCCGGCCAACUACGUGCCAGCAGCCGCGGUAAGACGUAGGGCGCGAGCGUUGUCCGGAUUUAUUGGGCGUAAAGAGCUCGUAGGCGGCUUGUUGCGUCAGCUGUGAAAACCCGCAGCUCAACUGUGGGCUUGCAGCUGAUACGGNCCGGCUUGAGUUCGGUAGGGGAGACUGGAAUUNCU